AUCCAUCUGACGAGUUCCACAUAAGACGAAACGCUUAUCCUGUAU
Molecule: non-coding RNA, 45 nt
Filed under: Schistosoma margrebowiei
Lineage: Eukaryota; Metazoa; Platyhelminthes; Trematoda; Strigeidida; Schistosomatidae
Source: RNAcentral